GAUGAACGCUGGCGGCGUGCCUAAUACAUGCAAGUCGAGCGAACAGACGAGGAGCUUGCUCCUCUGACGUUAGCGGCGGACGGGUGAGUAACACGUGGAUAACCUACCUAUAAGACUGGGAUAACUUCGGGAAACCGGAGCUAAUACCGGAUAAUAUAUUGAACCGCAUGGUUCAAUAGUGAAAGACGGUUUUGCUGUCACUUAUAGAUGGAUCCGCGCCGCAUUAGCUAGUUGGUAAGGUAACGGCUUACCAAGGCAACGAUGCGUAGCCGACCUGAGAGGGGGAACGGCCACACAGGAACGGAGAACCGGUCAAGACUCCUAAGGAAGGAAGGAGUGGGGAAUCUUCGGAAAAGGGGGAAACCCUGAAGAAGCAACGCCGGGUGGGGGAAGAAGGUCUUCGGGUUGUAAAACCCUUUUAUUAGGGAAGAACAAAUGGGGAAGAAACCAGGGGGGUCUUGACGGUACCCAAAGAAAAAGCAGCGGCUAAAUACGG
Molecule: ribosomal RNA, 496 nt
Filed under: uncultured bacterium
Lineage: Bacteria
Description: partial 16S ribosomal RNA
Rfam family: Bacterial small subunit ribosomal RNA
Source: RNAcentral